GACGAACGCUGGCGGCGUGCUUAACACAUGCAAGUCGAACGGAAAGGCUCCAGCUUGCUGGAGUACUCGAGUGGCGAACGGGUGAGUAACACGUGGGUAAUCUGCCCUGCACUCUGGGAUAAGCCUGGGAAACUGGGUCUAAUACUGGAUAUGACCUUUCUCCUUAUGGGGUUUGGUGGAAAGUUUUUCGGUGUAGGAUGAGCCCGCGGCCUAUCAGCUUGUUGGUGGGGUGAUGGCCUACCAAGGCGACGACGGGUAGCCGGCCUGAGAGGGUGAUCGGCCACAUUGGGACUGAGAUACGGCCCAGACUCCUACGGGGGGCAGCAGUGGGGAAUAUUGCACAAUGGGCGGAAGCCUGAUGCAGCGACGCCGCGUGAGGGAUGACGGCCUUCGGGUUGUAAACCUCUUUCAGCAGGGACGAAGCGUAAGUGACGGUACCUGCAGAAGAAGCACCGGCUAACUACGUG
This 467-nucleotide ribosomal RNA is filed under the name uncultured bacterium. Its description in RNAcentral is "partial 16S ribosomal RNA". It matches the Rfam family "Bacterial small subunit ribosomal RNA", at positions 28 to 507 of the family's 1533-position model. The record is from RNAcentral.